This 492-nucleotide ribosomal RNA is filed under the name uncultured bacterium. RNAcentral describes it as "partial 16S ribosomal RNA". It matches the Rfam family "Bacterial small subunit ribosomal RNA", at positions 29 to 507 of the family's 1533-position model. The record is from RNAcentral.
AGUGAACGCCGGCGGUAGGCCUAACACAUGCAAGUCGAACGGCAGCACAGUAAGAGCUUGCUCUUACGGGUGGCGAGUGGCGGACGGGUGAGGAAUACAUCGGAAUCUACUUUUUCGUGGGGGAUAACGUAGGGAAACUUACGCUAAUACCGCAUACGACCUACGGGUGAAAGCAGGGGAUCUUCGGACCUUGCGCGAUUGAAUGAGCCGAUGUCGGAUUAGCUAGUUGGCGGGGUAAAGGCCCACCAAGGCGACGAUCCGUAGCUGGUCUGAGAGGAUGAUCAGCCACACUGGAACUGAGACACGGUCCAGACUCCUACGGGAGGCAGCAGUGGGGAAUAUUGGACAAUGGGCGCAGGCCUGAUCCAGCCAUACCGCGUGGGUGAAGAAGGCCUUCGGGUUGUAAAGCCCUUUUGUUGGGAAAGAAAAGCAGCAGGUUAAUACCCCGCUGUUCUGACGGUACCCAAAGAAUAAGCACCGGCUAACUUCGUG